Long non-coding RNA from Saimiri boliviensis boliviensis (Bolivian squirrel monkey), 991 nucleotides. The record is from Ensembl. Lineage: Eukaryota; Metazoa; Chordata; Mammalia; Primates; Cebidae.
CCUGUAUAAGGUAAUGCAAAAGAUUGCUGUUAUAUAAGUUUGGUCAAUACAAAUAGUAAGUUGGAAAUUUAAUGGUAUUUCUUCUCUUUUCUUUACAGUGAUUUUGUCUUCUCACAAUGAAUGACUACUUGUGUUAUGACAAUGUAGAUAAAAGUACUCAUAAUGAAUGAGGUCACAAGAGGAAAUUCAGAGUGGAAGAUGUACACAUUUAAAGCCCCAGGAAGAAUUCCAGAAGAUCAGAAGAGUACCUGGGGUCCAAAUAAAUGAUGUGACCUGCCAAGGUCAUGUGGUAGUGAUUCAAGAUGAGAACUCGGGUCAAGAGACUGCAGAAACAAGGAAACAUCGAACUCAUUUGGUUCUCCCCUGAUACUUUUCUCCUGAAACAUAUAUAUUUUGUGAAGAGUUUUUAAAGUUUCCUCAUAUAAUAUGCCACCCCCACCCCAUUUUUUCUCCUUUGAAAAUGUAAAAGGCUCCUUUAAAUAGAACCUGCUUUGUCAACUCUAAGAUAGACAAAGGAUUAAAUUAAAGAAACAGCCAGCUGCUUUUCAAUAGUUAUGAGUGGGGAAGAAAUGAGCUAGAAAUAUAUUCCUACUUUAGGCACGCUUAGCUGCUCUUAGGUUCCUCCUUCAUUAUUUUAUUGUCGUCUUCUCUUGGGCUAGGGCACCACAUUAUCAAACCCCAUCCAUGAUCUUCAAAUCUGAAGAAGGCAGCAGUGAACAGAGUGCACUCUAUUUAAGACCCUACACAUUUUUCACCUCCCACUUUCUUCCAAACACAGACAUACAACCUCAUAGUUUCAUUUGCAGCCUUUUGGCUUUGCCUUUCAAUUUUGGGAUGUGACCCUUUCCAACUUCCUAUUGACGGAAGCAUAAAAAUGCGCAAACAUGAGACAAGCGAAAGCUAAGGAUUGCCAACUCUCUACAGAGGUUUUCCUGGAAGGAAAUAAUUCCCUGUCACAAUCCACAUGGAUCAGAAUAAGAUAUCAACUCAC